RNAcentral lists this transfer RNA (75 nucleotides) under Echiichthys vipera (lesser weever). Its description in RNAcentral is "tRNA-Lys". It matches the Rfam family "tRNA". Rfam says of the family: Transfer RNA (tRNA) molecules are approximately 80 nucleotides in length. Their secondary structure includes four short double-helical elements and three loops (D, anti-codon, and T loops). The record is from RNAcentral. Lineage: Eukaryota; Metazoa; Chordata; Actinopteri; Perciformes; Trachinidae.
CGUUAAGAAGCUAAAUAGGGAAUAAGCGUUAGCCUUUUAAGCUAAAGAUUGGCGACCCCCAACCGCCUUUAACGA